UUGCUUUGGUAGCACAUUACUAACACUGGAACCAUGCAGAGAAUAUUAGCAUGGCCCCUGGGCAAGGAAGACUUGCAGAUUUGUGCAGUGUCCCAUAUUUCU
Loxodonta africana (African savanna elephant) is the source of this 102-nucleotide small nuclear RNA. NCBI's taxonomy places the organism in Eukaryota, Metazoa, Chordata, Mammalia, Proboscidea, Elephantidae. The record is from Ensembl.